CCUACGGGAGGCAGCAGUGGGGAAUAUUGGACAAUGGGGGCAACCCUAAUCCAGCCAUGCCGCGUGUGUGAAGAAGGCCCUCGGGUUGUAAAGCACUUUCAGUGAGGAAGAACGCCUGGUGGUUAAUACCCAUCAGGAAAGACAUCACUCACAGAAGAAGCACCGGCUAACUCCGUGCCAGCAGCCGCGGUAAUACGGAGGGUGCGAGCGUUAAUCGGAAUUACUGGGCGUAAAGCGCGCGUAGGUGGCUUGAUAAGCCGGUUGUGAAAGCCCCGGGCUCAACCUGGGAACGGCAUCCGGAACUGUCAAGCUAGAGUGCAGGAGAGGAAGGUAGAAUUCCCGGUGUAGCGGUGAAAUGCGUAGAGAUCGGGAGGAAUACCAGUGGCGAAGGCGGCCUUCUGGACUGACACUGACACUGAGGUGCGAAAGCGUGGGUAGCAAACAGGAUUAGAUACCCCAGUAGUC
RNAcentral lists this ribosomal RNA (465 nucleotides) under Vreelandella stevensii. RNAcentral's name for it is "partial 16S ribosomal RNA". It matches the Rfam family "Bacterial small subunit ribosomal RNA", at positions 338 to 795 of the family's 1533-position model. Lineage: Bacteria; Pseudomonadati; Pseudomonadota; Gammaproteobacteria; Oceanospirillales; Halomonadaceae. The record is from RNAcentral.